CCUUAUAGUGGGGGAGUAGCCUUUCGAAAGGAAGAUUAAUACCGCAUAAGAUUGUAGUAUCGCAUGAUAUAGCAAUUAAAGGAGCAAUCCGCUAUAAGAUGGACCCGCGUCGCAUUAGCUAGUUGGUGAGGUGAUGGCUCACCAAGGCGACGAUGCGUAGCCGACCUGAGAGGGUGAUCGGCCACAUUGGGACUGAGACACGGCCCAGACUCCUACGGGAGGCAGCAUG
RNAcentral lists this ribosomal RNA (229 nucleotides) under uncultured bacterium. RNAcentral describes it as "partial 16S ribosomal RNA". It matches the Rfam family "Bacterial small subunit ribosomal RNA", at positions 129 to 353 of the family's 1533-position model. The record is from RNAcentral.